This 253-nucleotide ribosomal RNA is filed under the name uncultured bacterium. Its description in RNAcentral is "partial 16S ribosomal RNA". It matches the Rfam family "Bacterial small subunit ribosomal RNA", at positions 524 to 776 of the family's 1533-position model. The record is from RNAcentral.
UACGUAGGGGGCUAGCGUUGUCCGGAAUCAUUGGGCGUAAAGAGCGUGUAGGCGGCCCGGUAAGUCCGCUGUAAAAGUCAAAGGCUCAACCUUUGAAUGUCGGUGGAUACUGCCGGGCUAGAGUCCGGAAGAGGCGAGUGGAACUCCUGGUGUAGCGGUGGAAUGCGCAGAUAUCAGGAAGAACACCAACGGCGAAGGCAGCUCGCUGGGACGGUACUGACGCUGAGACGCGAAAGCGUGGGGAGCGAACAGG